AUUGAACGCUGGCGGCAGGCCUAACACAUGCAAGUCGAGCGAGCGGCGGACGGGUGAGUAAUGUAUGGGGACUGCCCGAUAGCGGGGGAUAACUACUGGAAACGGUGGCUAAUACCGCAUACUAUCGGAUAACCCAUAUGGGAUUAGCUAGUUGGUGAGGUAAUGGCUCACCAAGGCGACGAUCCCUAGAUGGUCUGAGAGGAUGAUCAGCGACACUGGGACUGAGACACGGCCCAGACUCCUACGGAGGCAGCAGUGGGGAAUAUUGCACAAUGGGCGCAAGCCUGAUGCAGCCAUGCCGCGUGUAUGAAGAAGGCCUUCGGGUUGUAAAGUUCUUUCGGUAGCGAGGCGUUAACUACAGAAGAAGCACCGGCUAACUCCGUGCCAGCAGCCGCGGUAAUAC
Molecule: ribosomal RNA, 403 nt
Filed under: uncultured bacterium
Lineage: Bacteria
Description: partial 16S ribosomal RNA
Rfam family: Bacterial small subunit ribosomal RNA
Source: RNAcentral